Daphnia carinata is the source of this 1096-nucleotide long non-coding RNA. RefSeq lists it as uncharacterized. The transcript has 9 exons. The record is from RefSeq and is a predicted model, not a curated record. Lineage: Eukaryota; Metazoa; Arthropoda; Branchiopoda; Diplostraca; Daphniidae.
AGGAAGCCGUUUUAGCAGAAGACGAGUUGACGAAUGGAAGUGGCACCACGCUUUUCAAGCAUUCAGAAAUGGCAUCGCCUAGAACAAGGUUUCAAGUAUUUGUCAGGGCGAAACUUCAAUCGAACCAUAAGCGAAUACCACGUGGUGAGCCCACGACAGAAAUAUGGUGAAGCAGUUGUGUGAAAUUUCGAGUGGACAUUAAACAUGAUGCAAGCUUAACUUAAACAUAUGUGAUGGAUUCCCAAUGCAUUUCUGGCUUUCAUGGCCUGGUGAAGUGAGGGUGCGUGGCAAAUGGGAGAGCUGGUCCAUUUGGUAGCUUUUGCUUUCUCGUUUCUGGUGAUGCGGAUUGGUUUCGUGUUUCGAGGAAUUGAAUCCUUGGAUUGAGGUAGUUUUGGUGAAUCUGGACAGCUGUACGGUCUCGAUGUGAUUUGGUGAUUUAGCUGUUAAGUUACUCCGUCAAACCAUCUAAUUGUCCGCUGUUUUGGUCUGGAGUAAUUCAACCACUAGGCAUAAGAAGACAAACAUGAGACAGCACUUAUAUGGAUGUAAAGAAACGCGCAAAACUCCGUCAUGCACUACAGGAGAGGGAGAUGGGAUACAAGUUUUAUUGUCAAUAGGUCCAAGAUUUGACAGAAAAAAUAUUAUCUGUCCAGCGGUUUGCAGCCUCCAGUGAAACCUACAAAUGCAAAGUUCUAUGAAAAUCAAUGAAGCAGUUGACUGAAAUAUUAUGGGGGAUAACCUGUGAUUCUGAUUUUAACUUUUCAAGUUCAUCAGGAUCAAGCUCCUGAAACUCCUUAAGGCUUAAUUUUAAUGCAGUGUUUUUUUCUUGUACUUUCUUUAACUCAACUUGUAAUUUUUCUCUCUUUUCCUCAUCCUGCUGUCCAGUCUACAUUGCAAAUGACAAAUAACAAGGGUAUUAGUGUUGCUCAACAAAUACACACAAAUCAUUUUACCUUUUUUUUAGCUAAUUUUGUUUCCAGAUCAGCUCUCAAUGUUUUCACUUCUUGACUUGAGUUUUCUAAUUGCAUUAGUUUUUGUUUUUUCAGGUUGAUUGCUUUACUGGGCAAAGCCCAAAAGUAGACAGAUGUUCCAAUUU